GUGGCAACUGACAUUUAAUGUGGAUAAGUGCAAGAUAAUGCAUCUUGGACGUAAAAACCCAAGGGCAGAGUACAGAAUAUUUGAUAGAGUCCUAACCUCAACAUCUGAGGAAAGGGAUUUAGGGGUGAUUAUUUCUGAUUACUUAAAGGUAGGCAGACAAUGUAAUAGAGCAGCAGGAAAUGCUAGCAGAAUGCUUGGUUGUAUUGGGAGAGGUAUUAGCAGUAGAAAGAGGGAAGUGCUCAUGCCAUUGUACAGAACACUGGUGAGACCUCACUUGGAG
Non-coding RNA from Pelobates cultripes (western spadefoot toad), 280 nucleotides. NCBI's taxonomy places the organism in Eukaryota, Metazoa, Chordata, Amphibia, Anura, Pelobatidae. The record is from the annotation of a GenBank genome assembly.